UAACACAUACUCCAGCGCCUUCUCGAGCCUUCGUUUAUAUUUUUCUUUUGCACACAUGACGGACGAAGGCAUCUGCAUUAUAUACGUAGCGGAUGGAGAUUCCACCAACUGUAGAUAUUUCUAUUUUAAUAUAUAUACAUAUUAAAUUACUUGCUUUGAAUUCUUUUUUUUUUAGUUGAACUCUAAUUUAUUUGCAAUAGCAGC
Molecule: long non-coding RNA, 204 nt
Filed under: Elaeis guineensis (African oil palm)
Lineage: Eukaryota; Viridiplantae; Streptophyta; Magnoliopsida; Arecales; Arecaceae
Description: long non-coding RNA (EGUI_LNC023840)
Source: RNAcentral